UACGUAGGGGGCAAGCGUUGUCCGGAUUUAUUGGGCGUAAAGAGCGUGUAGGCGGCCAGAUAAGUCCGCUGUGAAAUCUCGAGGCUCAACUUCGAGCUGUCGGUGGAAACUGUCUGGCUAGAGUCCGGAAGAGGAGAAUGGAAUUCCUGGUGUAGCGGUGAAAUGCGCAGAUAUCUGGAGGAACACCGGUGGCGAAGGCGGCAUCCUGGACCGGUAUUGACGCUGAGGAGCGAAAGCCAGGGGAGCAAACGGG
Molecule: ribosomal RNA, 253 nt
Filed under: uncultured bacterium
Lineage: Bacteria
Description: partial 16S ribosomal RNA
Rfam family: Bacterial small subunit ribosomal RNA
Source: RNAcentral